GGGUUGUGAGGUUAAGCGACUAAGCGUACACGGUGGAUGCCCUGGCAGUCAGAGGCGAUGAAGGGCGUGCUAAUCUGCGAUAAGCGCCGGUAAGGUGAUAUGAACCGUUAUAACCGGCGAUACCCGAAUGGGGAAACCCAGUGUGACUCGUCACACUAUCAUUAACUGAAUCCAUAGGUUAAUGAGGCGAACCGGGGGAACUGAAACAUCUAAGUACCCCGAGGAAAAGAAAUCAACCGAGAUUCCCCCAGUAGCGGCGAGCGAACGGGGAGGAGCCCAGAGCCUGAAUCAGCAUGUGUGUUAGUGGAAGCGUCUGGAAAGGCGCGCGAUACAGGGUGACAGCCCCGUACACAAAAGCGCAUGUGCUGUGAGCUCGAUGAGUAGGGCGGGACACGUGGUAUCCUGUCUGAAUAUGGGGGGACCAUCCUCCAAGGCUAAAUACUCCUGACUGACCGAUAGUGAACCAGUACCGUGAGGGAAAGGCGAAAAGAACCCCGGCGAGGGGAGUGAAAAAGAACCUGAAACCGUGUACGUACAAGCAGUGGGAGCACAGGUUUACCUGUGUGACUGCGUACCUUUUGUAUAAUGGGUCAGCGACUUAUAUUCUGUAGCAAGGUUAACCGAAUAGGGGAGCCGGAGGGAAACCGAGUCUUAACCGGGCGUUAAGUUGCAGGGUAUAGACCCGAAACCCGGUGAUCUAGCCAUGGGCAGGUUGAAGGUUGGGUAACACUAACUGGAGGACCGAACCGAC
RNAcentral lists this ribosomal RNA (751 nucleotides) under Salmonella enterica subsp. enterica serovar Infantis. RNAcentral describes it as "partial 23S ribosomal RNA". It matches the Rfam family "Bacterial large subunit ribosomal RNA", at positions 1 to 783 of the family's 2925-position model. The record is from RNAcentral. Lineage: Bacteria; Pseudomonadati; Pseudomonadota; Gammaproteobacteria; Enterobacterales; Enterobacteriaceae.